UACGGCCACAUUACUUUAAAACAGCCGUUCCCGUACGAUCAGCGAAGUUAAGCAAUGUCGAGCCUGGUCAGUACCUAGAUAGGUAACUGCUUAGGUAAACCAGCUGCUGUAAG
Acanthosepion pharaonis is the source of this 113-nucleotide non-coding RNA. Lineage: Eukaryota; Metazoa; Mollusca; Cephalopoda; Sepiida; Sepiidae. The record is from the annotation of a GenBank genome assembly.